UGCCGGUUUGCGGGAGAGACCAGCGAGAGCUGGCGCCGAAGGGGAAAUCGCCCGAAAUCUCUCAGGCAAAAGAACCGUAGACCGGAU
RNAcentral lists this non-coding RNA (87 nucleotides) under Hyphomicrobiales bacterium. RNAcentral's name for it is "Rhizobiales bacterium Glycine sequence". It matches the Rfam family "Glycine riboswitch aptamer". Rfam says of the family: This family represents the bacterial glycine riboswitch. Glycine riboswitches usually consist of two metabolite-binding aptamers domains with similar structures in tandem. Lineage: Bacteria; Pseudomonadati; Pseudomonadota; Alphaproteobacteria; Hyphomicrobiales. The record is from RNAcentral.